This 433-nucleotide ribosomal RNA is filed under the name uncultured bacterium. RNAcentral's name for it is "partial 16S ribosomal RNA". It matches the Rfam family "Bacterial small subunit ribosomal RNA", at positions 29 to 507 of the family's 1533-position model. The record is from RNAcentral.
AACGAACGCUGGCGGCAUGCCUAACACAUGCAAGUCGAACGAGACCUUCGGGUCUAGUGGCGCACGGGUGCGUAACGCGUGGGAACCUGCCCUUAGGUUCGGAAUAACUCCCCGAAAGGGGUGCUAAUACCGGAUAAUGUCUUCGGACCAAAGAUUUAUCGCCUUUGGAUGGGCCCGCGUUGGAUUAGCUAGUUGGUAGGGUAAAAGCCUACCAAGGCGACGAUCCAUAGCUGGUCUGAGAGGAUGAUCAGCCACACUGGGAAUGAGACACGGCCCAGACUCCUACGGGAGGGAGCAGUGGGGAAUAUUGGACAAUGGGCGAAAGCCUGAUCCAGCAAUGCCGCGUGAGUGAUGAAGGCCUUAGGGUUGUAAAGCUCUUUUACCCGGGAUGAUAAUGACAGUACCGGGAGAAUAAGCUCCGGCUAACUCCGUG